AGAACUCGUAAAUAGUCCAUAUUUAUCUUUUUAAUCCGGAAUUAAAACUUGUAAGAGGUAUUUCUCCCUCAUAAGAGCUCCGAAUUUGAUGAUUCUUUUUCCUAAUUUUAUCUAAAAUCACUCUUUCAUUUUAUGGUGUAUGUUUGCAAGUUAGGUACUAUUUCUUGGAUCUUAUACAUAUUGCUUAGUUUCUUACAUCUAUGUAGAAAAAUAAACAAAUGAUUUUGCAUAACAAUUGGAAAUAUAAAUUCAUAUUUCCUAAUACUAAGUUAAAUAUGAUGUUGUGUUCAAAUUUGAGGUGUAUAUGAGUUGAAAAGUAUUCUGACAUAUGCAAACUUGAAAGUUUUCCUCAAGUUAUAGGAAAUUAUGUGGGAGAUAUAUUAAUUUGUGAACAAUGUGUAGCCCCACUUUAUUAAAACUAUUUGAAUUUUUUAUGACAAGAUUAUGGACCGAAAAUAAUUUGAUGUGUUAGUUUUUAGAAUUUUCUAACAAAAUUUAGAUAUUAUAAUAAUUAUUUUGUAGUAGUUUAGACUUAGAUAGUUGAAUUAUCCAUAUCAAACAAUUGAAUUUUGUAUCUAUCUCUAGAACUUGGGCUAUAAUGGUAUAUAUGAACCUGAAAAUAUUUUUUCUAUAAUUUUUUGUAUCUUAUUGGAGGCACACGUAGUUCAAUUUAAAAAUACUUUUUAAAUUACUUGUGAUGAUAAAUACGAUGAAUGUUUGUGUUAGAUGGGCCGAAAAACUUACCCUGGGCUAUUUUCUACUGAAGCCCGAUUCCU
Molecule: long non-coding RNA, 776 nt
Filed under: Setaria viridis
Lineage: Eukaryota; Viridiplantae; Streptophyta; Magnoliopsida; Poales; Poaceae
Description: long non-coding RNA (SVIR_LNC005971)
Source: RNAcentral